This 701-nucleotide ribosomal RNA is filed under the name uncultured prokaryote. RNAcentral's name for it is "bacterial SSU rRNA". It matches the Rfam family "Bacterial small subunit ribosomal RNA", at positions 28 to 747 of the family's 1533-position model. The record is from RNAcentral.
GAUGAACGCUGACAGAAUGCUUAACACAUGCAAGUCGAUUCGAUUUACCUUCGGGUAUUGAGGAUGGCGGACGGGUGAGUAACGCGUAAGGAACUUGCCUCUUGGUCUGGGACAACUGUUGGAAACGACAGCUAAUACCGGAUAUUAUGAGAUUCUCGCAUGGGAAACUUAUGAAAGCUAUAUGCGCCAAGAGAGAGCCUUGCGUUCCAUUAGCUAGUUGGUGGGGUAACGGCCCACCAAGGCGACGAUGGAUAGCCGGCCUGAGAGGGUGAACGGCCACAAGGGGACUGAGACACGGCCCUUACUCCUACGGGAGGCAGCAGUGGGGAAUAUUGGACAAUGGGCCACAAGCCUGAUCCAGCAAUUCUGUGUGCACGAUGAAGGUCUUCGGAUUGUAAAGUGCUUUCAGUUGGGAAGAAGAAAGUGACGGUACCAACAGAAGAAGCGACGGCUAAAUACGUGCCAGCAGCCGCGGUAAUACGUAUGUCGCAAGCGUUAUCCGGAUUUAUUGGGCGUAAAGCGCGUCUAGGCGGAAAAAUAAGUCUGAUGUUAAAAUGCGGGGCUCAACUCCGUAUUGCGUUGGAAACUGUUUUUCUAGAGUACUGGAGAGGUGGGCGGAACUACAAGUGUAGAGGUGAAAUUCGUAGAUAUUUGUAGGAAUGCCGAUGGAGAAGUCAGCUCACUGNACAGAUACUGACGCU